UAGCUGGUCUGAGAUAUAUUUCGGAUAGGAACAUGGUAACGAUUCGAUGCUUUAGUUUCGGUAGAACAACAUAAAGUUAAGAAAUUAAAGGUCAUUCAUUUAACAGAACAAUAGGAUGUUCUUAAAUAGGAGAAGUAGUAGAUAGGAGCAGUUCUAGUCUAAAAACAGGUAGAGAGGAGCAGUCUAGGUAGCACUAGGACUGUCAGCACACAUGUCCGCGGGGUGGUACUUCACGGGAAGGCUAAGGAGCCGACCGGCACUAGGGACCCGAGGAGGAGGCCGAAGACCGCCACCGCCGAGGUCGCUCGGUCGGUUCUUCGCCGUCGCCUGGAGCUCGAGCUCGGUCCGGCUCCGUAGGAGCAGGAGUGUCGGAGGUGGCCGCGGCGGCCCCCUGCGCUCUCUCCACGGCCUAGACCCCCUCCUGUGCUACAAGCUCCACGACGCCGCCCGCCUCGGCGCCUGCGACCGGCGGCGCCGCACGCACUCGGCCCCGACCGCCCAGGAGCGCGUCCUGCUCGCCGACACCCUCCGUGGCACGCACUCCCUCACCUGUCACCUGGCUGGAGCCGAAGAGCCUUGUCGACGAGGCGCGGCAGCACGAGAGAAAGCCGCCGAAGGCGGCGGACGUGCGGUAGAGGUAGGUCCGGGCUGCCGCCAAGCCGCAACCGACGCCCUUGACCGUGCCGCACGCCUGCGGCCCUGUCCCCUCCUCCUCCCCCCACGGCACCUGGCUGCUGCUCGUGUCCAACAAAGAGAAUCCGGACUUCUGCAUGCCUUUUCCCCUAACCUCCUUUUAUAGUGCGUUGAAGCACGCCUGCUCCUGCGGCUGCGUCCACCGGUCGGUGCGAGUCUUCAUGAAAUAGUCCGAGUCGAGUCCCUGCCGUUCCUCCAGCUCGUAGGUGCUGUAGUGGUGUCAAGUGGACUGGCUGCUGGUCGGAGGGAGCGGCAGGGUCACUAACUACUAGUUGGUCAGGUCGCGUGGCCGAGUCGUGCCGUUGCCCCGUCAAGAGCGACGGUCGGCUGUGGUUCGUCGUGCCGCGCAGCUCGCGCGGGAAGUCAAGCGGCUUGGCCCGAGAGCCCUACGGCUUGAUGCCGUCCCAAACGUUCUAGUUCCGGACGUCACACCAAGAGAUGUUACAGAUGUACUAGUCGACCGGCGCUUGGCCUCAUGGCUCAUGCGACAUAAUCUUCUACGUUCGCGUAGUCUACAGAUCACAUUAUACCGGGACCGACAUCAAAGUGACGGACAUAAUAAUGACUUCAUUAACUAAUACCCCUAAAAAGUAUUCUAUCGUCUCUCUCAUCCAUACGACCACUCACCACUACGAACCAUCAUCAGGUGUUCACAACCACAACUAUGACUCUUACAUUCCCCUUUUCCUACAGAUCUUGAACUACGACAUCAUAGAACUCUGUGUGUCCCUUAUGAUCACGAGUCAUGACUACUACGUGUAACAGUUCACUGAACAAAAGUUAGAAGUACCUAGGACGAAAGACCAGUCGAGUACAAUACCCUUUGGAAUGAGUACGUCGUAGAGUGUGUAUGAAUAGGUGUAGAUACUAGAUAGUAAGUAAGUAAGUUC
This 1583-nucleotide ribosomal RNA is filed under the name Triticum aestivum (bread wheat). RNAcentral's name for it is "partial small subunit ribosomal RNA". Lineage: Eukaryota; Viridiplantae; Streptophyta; Magnoliopsida; Poales; Poaceae. The record is from RNAcentral.